ACUACGGGAGGCAGCAGUGGGGAAUAUUGGGCAAUGGGCGCAAGCCUGACCCAGCAACGCCGCGUGAAGGAAGAAGGCUUUCGGGUUGUAAACUUCUUUUGUCAGGGACGAAGCAAGUGACGGUACCUGACGAAUAAGCCACGGCUAACUACGUGCCAGCAGCCGCGGUAAUACGUAGGUGGCAAGCGUUAUCCGGAUUUACUGGGGGUAAAGGGCGUGUAGGCGGGGAAGCAAGUCAGAUGUGAAAACCACGGGCUCAACCUGUGGCCUGCAUUUGAAACUGUUUUUCUUGAGUGCUGUAGAGUCAAUCGGAAUUCCGGGGGUAGCGGUGAAAUGCGUAGAUAUAUGGAGGAACACCAGUGGCGAAGGCGACGAUCUGGCCUGCAACUGACGCUCAGUCCCGAAAGCGUGGGGAGCAAAUAGGAUUAGAUACCCUUGUAGUC
RNAcentral lists this ribosomal RNA (443 nucleotides) under uncultured bacterium. RNAcentral's name for it is "partial 16S ribosomal RNA". It matches the Rfam family "Bacterial small subunit ribosomal RNA", at positions 338 to 795 of the family's 1533-position model. The record is from RNAcentral.